Stomoxys calcitrans (stable fly) is the source of this 140-nucleotide non-coding RNA. NCBI's taxonomy places the organism in Eukaryota, Metazoa, Arthropoda, Insecta, Diptera, Muscidae. The record is from Rfam.
UAAAGGUCCACUCUAAUGUCAUGUUAUGGACCAAAUCAAUUAGCAUGGCCUCGCUUGUGGACUAUAUAAAAUUGUUUUAUUAUCCUAGCUUUUGAAGUAAUUUGCAUUUCACUAAGCUCGAGAAACGUAAAACAACAUUU